GGGGAUGUAGCUUAAUGGUAAAGCUCCAGUCUUCCAAACUGGCUACGCGGGUUCGAUUCCCGUCAUCCCCUCCA
This 74-nucleotide transfer RNA is filed under the name Leucobacter sp. Its description in RNAcentral is "tRNA-Gly". It matches the Rfam family "tRNA". Rfam says of the family: Transfer RNA (tRNA) molecules are approximately 80 nucleotides in length. Their secondary structure includes four short double-helical elements and three loops (D, anti-codon, and T loops). Further hydrogen bonds mediate the characteristic L-shaped molecular structure. tRNAs have two regions of fundamental functional importance: the anti-codon, which is responsible for specific mRNA codon recognition, and the 3' end, to which the tRNAs corresponding amino acid is attached (by aminoacyl-tRNA synthetases). tRNAs cope with the degeneracy of the genetic code in two manners: having more than one tRNA (with a specific anti-codon) for a particular amino acid; and 'wobble' base-pairing, i.e. permitting non-standard base-pairing at the 3rd anti-codon position. RNAcentral also lists the same sequence under 3 other names. The record is from RNAcentral. Lineage: Bacteria; Bacillati; Actinomycetota; Actinomycetes; Micrococcales; Microbacteriaceae.